This 724-nucleotide ribosomal RNA is filed under the name Stenotrophomonas chelatiphaga. Its description in RNAcentral is "bacterial SSU rRNA". It matches the Rfam family "Bacterial small subunit ribosomal RNA", at positions 22 to 733 of the family's 1533-position model. The record is from RNAcentral. Lineage: Bacteria; Pseudomonadati; Pseudomonadota; Gammaproteobacteria; Lysobacterales; Lysobacteraceae.
GCUCAGAGUGAACGCUGGCGGUAGGCCUAACACAUGCAAGUCGAACGGCAGCACAGUAAGAGCUUGCUCUUAUGGGUGGCGAGUGGCGGACGGGUGAGGAAUACAUCGGAAUCUACUUUUUCGUGGGGGAUAACGUAGGGAAACUUACGCUAAUACCGCAUACGACCUACGGGUGAAAGCAGGGGAUCUUCGGACCUUGCGCGAUUGAAUGAGCCGAUGUCGGAUUAGCUAGUUGGCGGGGUAAAGGCCCACCAAGGCGACGAUCCGUAGCUGGUCUGAGAGGAUGAUCAGCCACACUGGAACUGAGACACGGUCCAGACUCCUACGGGAGGCAGCAGUGGGGAAUAUUGGACAAUGGGCGCAAGCCUGAUCCAGCCAUACCGCGUGGGUGAAGAAGGCCUUCGGGUUGUAAAGCCCUUUUGUUGGGAAAGAAAUCCAGCCGGCUAAUACCUGGUUGGGAUGACGGUACCCAAAGAAUAAGCACCGGCUAACUUCGUGCCAGCAGCCGCGGUAAUACGAAGGGUGCAAGCGUUACUCGGAAUUACUGGGCGUAAAGCGUGCGUAGGUGGUUGUUUAAGUCUGUUGUGAAAGCCCUGGGCUCAACCUGGGAACUGCAGUGGAAACUGGGCAACUAGAGUGUGGUAGAGGGUAGCGGAAUUCCCGGUGUAGCAGUGAAAUGCGUAGAGAUCGGGAGGAACAUCCAUGGCGAAGGCAGCUACCNGGA